GGCUGUCGUCAGCUCGUGUCGUGAGAUGUUCGGUUAAGUCCGCUAACGAGCGCAACCCUUGCUGCGUGUUACAUGUGUCACGCGGGACUGCCGGUCUUAAGCCGGAGGAAGGUGGGGAUGAAGUCAAGUCAGCAUGGCCUUUAUAUCCUGGGCUACACACACGCUACAAUGGCCAGUACAACAGGUUGCGAAGCCGCGAGCGGAGCCAAUCCCUAAAGCUGGUCUCAGUUCAGAUUGCAGGCUGCAACCCGCCUGCAUGAAGUUGGAGUUGCUAGUAACUGCAGGUCAGCUAUACUCGCGGUUCCGAAUACGUUCCGGCCUU
This 322-nucleotide ribosomal RNA is filed under the name uncultured Leptolinea sp. Its description in RNAcentral is "bacterial SSU rRNA". It matches the Rfam family "Bacterial small subunit ribosomal RNA", at positions 1047 to 1374 of the family's 1533-position model. The record is from RNAcentral. Lineage: Bacteria; Bacillati; Chloroflexota; Anaerolineae; Anaerolineales; Anaerolineaceae.